UGACCUCGGAUCAGGUAGGAAUACCCGCUGAACUUAAGCAUAUCAAUAAGCGGAGGAAAAGAAACCAACAGGGAUUGCCUCAGUAACGGCGAGUGAAGCGGCAACAGCUCAAAUUUGAAAUCUGGCCCUAGGCCCGAGUUGUAAUUUGCA
Molecule: ribosomal RNA, 150 nt
Filed under: Albifimbria lateralis
Lineage: Eukaryota; Fungi; Ascomycota; Sordariomycetes; Hypocreales; Stachybotryaceae
Also listed under: 3 other names
Description: partial 28S ribosomal RNA
Rfam family: Eukaryotic large subunit ribosomal RNA
Source: RNAcentral